AGGCUCUUCAGUUCAUGAGCAUGAUGAUUGGGUGCUCAUGCUGUAUGCACAAGAUGUGCCUCCUGCAAGCCUUGUUAUGAUGUGGGGGCAUUACCCAUCUGACU
Molecule: small nucleolar RNA, 104 nt
Organism: Cavia porcellus (domestic guinea pig)
Lineage: Eukaryota; Metazoa; Chordata; Mammalia; Rodentia; Caviidae
Rfam family: Small nucleolar RNA U13
Source: Rfam